RNAcentral lists this ribosomal RNA (1101 nucleotides) under Agaricus latiumbonatus. RNAcentral's name for it is "partial large subunit ribosomal RNA". It matches the Rfam family "Eukaryotic large subunit ribosomal RNA", at positions 47 to 1134 of the family's 3401-position model. Lineage: Eukaryota; Fungi; Basidiomycota; Agaricomycetes; Agaricales; Agaricaceae. The record is from RNAcentral.
UAUGCGGUGGUCAAGAACUACAAUGAUCCCCCGUAGUAACUGCGAGUGAAGCGGGAAAAGCUCAAAUUUAAAAUCUGGCAGUCUCUGGCUGUCCGAGUUGUAAUCUAGAGAAGUAAUGCCCGUGCUGGACCUGUGUAUAAGUCUCCUGGGAUGGGGCGUCAUAGAGGGUGAGAAUCCCGUCUUUGACACGGACUACCAGUGCAUUGUGGUAUGCUCUCAAAGAGUCGAGUUGUUUGGGAAUGCAGCUCAAAAUGGGUGGUAAAUUCCAUCUAAAGCUAAAUAUUGGCGAGAGACCGAUAGCGAACAAGUACCGUGAGGGAAAGAUGAAAAGAACUUUGGAAAGAGAGUUAAACAGUACGUGAAAUUGCUGAAAGGGAAACGCUUGAAGUCAGUCGCGUUGGCUGGGAAUCAGCCUUGCUUUUGCAUGGUGUACUUUCUGGUUGACGGGUCAGCAUCAAUUUUGACCGCUGGAAAAAGGCCUGGGGAAUGUGGCAGCUUCGGCUGUGUUAUAGCCCCUAGUCGCAUACAGUGGUUGGGAUUGAGGAACUCAGCACGCCGCAAGGCCGGGUUUCGACCACGUUCGUGCUUAGGAUGCUGGCAUAAUGGCUUUAAGCGACCCGUCUUGAAACACGGACCAAGGAGUCUAACAUGCCUGCGAGUAUUUGGGUGGAAAACCCAAGUGCGUAAUGAAAGUGAAAGUUGAGAUCCCUGUCGUGGGGAGCAUCGACGCCCGGACCAGAACUUUUGGGACGGAUCCGCGGUGGAGCAUGUAUGUUGGGACCCGAAAGAUGGUGAACUAUGCCUGAAUAGGGUGAAGCCAGAGGAAACUCUGGUGGAGGCUCGUAGCGAUUCUGACGUGCAAAUCGAUCGUCAAAUUUGGGUAUAGGGGGCGAAAGACUAAUCGAACCAUCUAGUAGCUGGGUUCCUGCCCGAAGUUUCCCUCAGGAUAGCAGGAAACUCAAUAUCAGAUUUAUGUGGUAAAGCGAAUGAUUAGAGGCCUUGGGGUUGAAACAACCUUAAUCUAUUCUCAAACUUUAAAUAUGUAAGACACGAGCGGUAUCUCUGAUGACCGCUCGGCGAUGGAAGUUACUAGUGGGCAUU